UACGUAGGGUGCAAGCGUUGUCCGGAAUUAUUGGGCGUAAAGAGCUCGUAGGCGGUGUGUCGCGUCGGCCGUGAAAACCGUGCAGCUUAACUGUGGCGUGCGGUCGAUACGGGCAUCACUGGAGUUCGGCAGGGGAGACUGGAAUUCCUGGUGUAGCGGUGAAAUGACGCAGAUAUCAGGAGGAACACCGAUGGCGAAGGCAGGUCUCUGGGCAUUAACUGACGCUGAGGAGCGAAAGCAUGGGGAGCGAACAGG
Molecule: ribosomal RNA, 255 nt
Filed under: uncultured bacterium
Lineage: Bacteria
Description: partial 16S ribosomal RNA
Rfam family: Bacterial small subunit ribosomal RNA
Source: RNAcentral